AAUUCUGAAAGGUUGCCUCAUCGCUGGAAAUAUGUGUAAUGUUGGAGCAAUGCUAGAUUAUAAAAUUUAUCGUUAAUUAAUAAUGAAACACACAAAGGUGUGAACAUCUCCAACUGCAGACACAACUGGUUUAUAAAAAUGACUGCGAGGUAAAAGUAGGAAUCCCAGAUCUAAAACAAGAACAAGAUAUAUCAAUACUAUGGUGUUACAAGCAUAUUGACAGGACUGGUGUUACACAUGGAAGAGAAGACAAGGAAGGGCUGGAACUUAGAGAACAAUGGCAUCUGGGAAUCUGUUGAGCAGUUGUUGUCAUCAGAAACAUCUACCAGGAACUUACAGGGGGUCAUGAGAUAGCUCUACAGCAAACAAGAAAGAGAAGAAAUGCUUCUUGCCCUGGCAGAAUUAUAAGUGGGCACACUUGCUAUGUUAUACAAUAUUAGGCAUGCAGUAGAAAAAAACAAGGAACCAUACAAAUCACCAGGUGUCUGGUCACAAACUCUGGCAGAGCUUCACACCAAGCAGGCAAGCUACAAGAUUUGGAACAACACAGCUUAUAGAUGAAAGUUAAAGGCAUUUAAUUUACUUGAAAACAGAGGAAGAAAGGACCAACACAUAAAAGAACAUUCAUUUUGAGGGAUGAGCAAUUCAAUUGAGUUCAAGGGUAGAGCAAUGGUGACUUCUCAGCCACCUGCUAUCAAUUUGACAUGUAUUAAGCACACGACUGGGUUAAUAAAAGUGGGAGUUUGGGUUAAAAUGCCCUUUGAGAGGCCCUGAAAAAAUGUUUGUCUAAGAAAGUUGAAACUAUGGAAGAAAAGGUGGUCAACUUCAGAGACAUAGAUGUAACUCCUGCAACGUGCUUCAACAUGGUUUAGCCAAGCGGAAACUUUUUCUUCCUAGUGUAUGCUCUUUAACGUAUUUAAGAUGUCCUUAACAUCUUUCAGAAAUCUACUUUUCUACCAAUAUUAUAUGGGUUAAUAUUUUUCAUAGAUAAAGCACAAAUAGUAGAGGGCUAAUUUUCAGACUAUGCUGCAUUUAUGAAGCAAAGCAAACCUCAUCUGCUUUCAUGACUUGAAUGGAGGAGAAUGGUUAGAGACUAUUAAAAGAGGAGAGGAGAGGAAAGAAGAGGCAAGAGCAAGAACAUACAGCAGACUGGCUGCUCCAACUUGGCAGUGGUCUCUCUAGUUCCUGGAGUCCUGUCCAUGAAUGAGGUUGGACUUGCAGCCACCAGCCAUUGCCAGUGGAGAGGCAGCGCCAGACUCCUACCAGCACUCACAUGGGUGGCAAUGGAAUGAAGUCACCACAUUUAGCAAAGGGUGAUGGCACAUUUCUUGGGUUUGCUAUGGGAGUAACCUUCUGUUUAAAUGUAUUACACAGAGCUCAUCUCUAACAAAAUCAUCUUCCUAUUUGGUUAACACUGUAAAUGAAAAUUCUGAACAGUGUGUGUUUACGCAAAGGUAGAAUCUAUACUCUCAGACUGCUAUCCAUUUGUGUGACCAUAAAGUCUUUAAAACUGAAGUAACGAUGGGGCAGAGAGAGGCAGUAUUUAAUAUCAAAAAGCCACAUGGUUGUUACAAUUUUAGGCAAGCUUAAGCAGAAAUUGUAUAUGUAAGGAAUAAAAUGUCAAUGUUACUUUCAGUUUGAAUUUCUACCACUGAAAUUUUAAUUCAAUCCAAAAUAUUCCUCUGCACAUGAGUCAGGCAGAAUGACCAAAUGUUGAUGCUGCGUGAUGAUGAUGUCCAUAGCCUGGACCUCUUCCCAUCUGGCUCCUUGGAUUACCUCACAGCCCUUCCUAGGUACCCAGAAUGUUUGCUCUUUGGUUAUAAGGCCAGAUGAAUGAGCAAAAACUCCCACCUAAAUCUGUAGCAUGCGGACAACCAAAUGAAUAGAUAUUUGAUUCUACUCACAGAUAUCAAACUAAAUAUGUUAAAUUCUAAAGAGAGCUAUUUCAACACUCUCAAUCUUCAAAAUGGAAAAGCUGCUUCUGUACUUAUGUAAAAUAUAAUAUGCUAUGUUAUACUAUUUGUUACUUCACAAAGUUUUUAACACAUCAUUUUAACACCUCCAAGUCUAUAAAUGUAUACUGCAGCAGAAGCCAUAUUGAGCAUAUAUAAUCAAAAUCGAAUCCUAUAUUCCUGCAGCUCUCACCACCAUCAAAGCUUGCCAUCUGGAGAAAACACAGGGCGACCGUGGCCUACAGAUAGAUGCUUAGAGAAUCCAACCUUCAUCCUGAGCAUGAGGGUGUUGGCGUUUGGAAAAGAGGAAGAAGGGGAAGCAGGCAAAUGUGGGCUUGGAGAGUGACAAUGCUAAUGAAAUAGGGUAAAUAACAAGCUUGGAAGUGAAGACCAGGCCAGUUUCCUAGAACACUUUUCCAUUCUGUAUCUUGAGACUAUGGAGACAGGAAGUGGAGAGAGCAGAUAAAUCCAUGACACUGUACUCUCCGGGAUCAGCUCCUGCCAUUCCGACUGCCCUAAUAUCCUUUCCUGCCUCCUCUCUCUUCUAGUAUUGCUCUCAGAUCAUGCUGGAUAUGCUUAAUAUAAACUGAAUUUAUCAUCUUCUAGAGAUUCCAAUAUCGACUUUAUGUCAAUAACCUCCCAAAUGCCUGUAUUUUGUUCUGAAGUUUCCUCGGGGCAGUAUUUUCAGCUCUCUAUUGGCCAUACCACUUGGAUGAAUAAAAAGAACGUCAAUCUCCAU
This 2691-nucleotide long non-coding RNA is filed under the name Homo sapiens (human). RNAcentral describes it as "HSALNT0127361". Lineage: Eukaryota; Metazoa; Chordata; Mammalia; Primates; Hominidae. The record is from RNAcentral.